RNAcentral lists this long non-coding RNA (3452 nucleotides) under Homo sapiens (human). RNAcentral's name for it is "HSALNT0357374". The stretch from base 1343 to 1491 matches the Rfam family "Metazoan signal recognition particle RNA". Lineage: Eukaryota; Metazoa; Chordata; Mammalia; Primates; Hominidae. The record is from RNAcentral.
GAGCUGUUAUCACUGCAGAACCAAGGUCACCUGUGGAAGCUCCUUGCUGAAGCCAGUUUUCUAUCAGAUCAUCCAUCAGGCCUAGCAGGGGGCAGGCAUUGUGCUGACUGUGGAAGAUCACAGAGAGUGUGUCAGAGUGAAAUUGACUUUGGAACUGUCUUUGUCCCUUUUGUACAGACCACACAACUGGUGCCAAUGGCGUCGCUGCCUGACUUUAAACUGUCCUGCCACUAGGAACCCUCACUGUCCAGCUCCAUAGUGCAACCAGAAGGAGAUUAACAAUGGUACCAGCACGUGCAGAAAAGAAAGAGUCUCCGCUUGUCUUUGUCUGAUUCUCCUGUCCUCUCCAUGGAAGUUACAUUUUCUGUAAAGGAUGAGCUGAAAAUUCUCCUGGUCGUUGCCAGUUGAACUUCUGCUGUGCUCUGGGAAGGCAUUCUCACUCUGUUUAUGUUGUCUAAGUGCAGACAUGGAUGUGCAGGUUUGCUAGAACCUCCUGAGGAUGUGCAAUGGUUCUGUUCAUGCCUGAAUCAGUUCUUUUGGGAGUGGACAUUCUUUCUCUCCCUCAUGCACAGCCUCAGGCACAUGGCUUGAGCUAUGGCGGCACGCAGUAUGGCCAUCACCCAGGUACACCCCUUCCCUAAGAAGAGGCUCUUCAGGUUACACUCGGGUACUGUUGUUAUCUGGCUUAUUGUCCAUAGGAUCAACAUAGAGUCCUGAGGUCAGUUCAAACCAUCAAACCAGGGAUGUUACUUAUUAUUUGAAAACUUCUUUGGAAAGAUAAUCUUGGGUUGUUCAGUGGGACCAGUCUUUGACGGGCAAAUCUCCAGAAUACAUGGGGUCAGUUCUCUCAGGUUCAGGAAGCAUGUAAUCUCUCUAAGAUUCAUUAAUUAAAAAAAAAAGACACAUGCAUAGAAAAAUAGAACAAAAUGGAAACUCUUUAUUGGAUACCUACUAUGGGUUAUGUGCCAGGGUUUCCUAAUCAUUUGGGGACAUGUGUGUAUAAACAAAACCAGGCUAUGUGGCCAGGCAGUGUGUGGCUCACACCUGUAAUCCCAGUGCUUAGGGAAGCCAAGUUGCAAGGAUCGCUUGAAACCAGGAGUUCGAGACUAGCCUGGGCAACAUAGUGAGACCCGGUCUCUGCAAAAAAAAAAAAAAAAGAAAAAGAAGAAGAAGAAAGAGAAAGGAAGGAAGGAAGGAAGGAAAGAAAGAAAGAAAGAGAAAGAAAGAAAGAAAGAAAAGAAAGAGAGAGAAAGAAAAAGAAAGGAAAGAAAGAAAAGAAAGAAAGAAAGAAAGAAAGGAAGAAACAAAGAAAAGAAAGAAAGAAAGAAAGAAAAGCUAGGAAGCUAGGGUGUGGGGGCGCAUGCCUGUAGUCCACACUACUUGGGAAGCUGAGGCAGGAGGAUUGCUUGAGCCCAGGAGAUCCAGGCUGCAGUGAACUGUGAUUGUGCUAUUACAUUCCAGCCUGGGCAACAGAGCAAGACCCUGUCUCUACAAAAACAAAACAAAACAAGACAACAGCAACAAAAAAGACCUGCCUAUGUCUUCAUGAACUUUGCAGUAUAGUGGUAGAAUAUGUGAGGGCCUGUUCUGUUGUGCUUCUUGGACACUCGGUGGGUUUACGCAACCUCAAUCAGGAGCUCUGAACACCGUCAGGCCUUAGCCAAAAUCUCUAUAAAGUAAUUUCUAUGUAUGAGUGCCAACUGCUAGGGGCAGUUCUGCUGAGCAAACUCUAAAGUUGUAUGCACGGGCUUACAGUUAUAACUCAUUUGGGGCUGAGAGGAGAACCUGUUAUUUGGUUUCCUGUCUCCUGAUCCAGAUGUUACAUUUUGUCGUGGGCAUGGAAAGCCCCCAAACUCCCCCAAGACAGUACCUAGUUCAUUCUGGGAGGUUCCAGGUGUCCUGUCUUUUGUAUUUCCAGAGGAGUUAAUGGAAGAGUAUAGAAACUCUGCUCUCUAUCCUGUAGCUUCCUUGCUACACAAGUUAAUUUGGGAUUAGAUAUUUUACCUCUUGAUAAAGUUUUAGUAUUUUGUGAGACAAAAACUGAGUUGAGGUAGAAAUAUUUUUCUGUCAUGGGACAUUACUCAGGAUGCAAUAAACUGUGUUUUGCUUGUGGCAAAAUUUGCAAACCUUCACUCAGUGAAAAGGACAUGAUUUUGUUAGCGAUGAAGCCAGUGAAAAGUCAAAUUUACCCAUUUCUUUCCACAUGGGUAAUUUUUUGAGCAUUGCACUCCCAUUUAUGGCAUGUGCUCUGUUUUCAUCGAGGACUAUAAUUAGACCAACAGGGGUGACUGUUUUAGCAAAAAUGUAAAGACUCAGGAAGAUACGUACCCCAGGAUUGCAUGAACCUAAAUCUGGAGUCAGUUCUUAGUGGACUCUUUCCUUUCCCCAUCAUCAUUACAUUUAAAAAGUAUGAACUUACUGGAAGCUUUAUAUAAACUAACACCUAAAGUUCUCUCAACCCAAGGUUGAUUUGAGCAUGUGUGUGUAAGUGCGUGGUGAUGUCUAGUGCCAACUGAUCCUGUCUAAAAGCCAUUUCCUAUUCUAAUUAGUAGGUCAGCAGGCAGGUUAAAAUAUUAAUUAUAAAGCUGCCAUCACUUAUUAGGAGAAAUCAGAAUUCUUCUUAAUUAAAACAGCUGCUAAUUAAUUUGCCCUUGACAACUCUAAGAAAUAAUAGAGCAAAAGAAAGAAUAAUUGGAAGUAAAACUGAUGAAAAUAGUUUAGAUUUCAUUUUAAUCAUUUGAGGAAAUGUUACACUAAAAAUAAGUAGCAUAAAUUAUCAAUUUGUCUAGAAAAAAUUAGGACUUUUAGAAAGUUGCCAAUGUGGCUAUACCAUUUUAAAAAAUGUUUGUUUUUUUUCAGGCCCAUCAAUGAGAGAGACAACAUUUAGAUAGGAGUACUGGACAUUUGAAAAUUCUUACACCCUGUGAUGUGACAUGGAGAAGUGACCAACACAACUUUGCCAACUAUACUCCAUUCUUAGUAACUGCCGAUUAGGAAGGAUUUCUUUCUAAGUCUGUCACUAAUUCAACUGUUAUUCACAAGAGAAGUAGAGGCAAAUGAUAGCAGCUUGAUCGUUGAUUUUUGAUUUAGAUGAUCAAUGAUGUUCAGAAUAGUGUUUGUAUGUGUGAGCAUGGAUGUGUAUGUCGUGUGUGUGUCUGUGUAUGUGGUGUGUGUGUCUGUGUAUAUUGUGUGUGUGUGUGUGCAUGCGUGUGUGCAGGGUAGGUAUCACCACAUUCCCUGUGGUGGUGUGUCUCUUCUCUGGGAUUGGUUCUUCUAGAAUCUCCCACCUUUUAGAACCACUUUAAGAUAUUUAUUUAUUCUCUCCAACCAUCCUGGCAAUCUUUUUAUCCUUAAACAGGAAUAAAUUCCUACAGCUGAAUCUAUUCAGGAUUUCUGUGUGUAUGUGUGAAAAUUUAUAUGAUGCUCAAUCCUUUAAAAAUCUUUUAUUCAAG